AUUGAACGCUGGCGGCAGGCCUAACACAUGCAAGUCGAGCGGAGCGGCGGACGGGUGAGUAAUGCCUAGGAAUCUGCCUGGUUGUGGGGGAUAACGUCCGGAAACGGGCGCUAAUACCGCAUCCUAUCAGAUGAGCCUAGGUCGGGUGAGCUAGUUGGUGGGGUAAAGGCCUACCAAGGCGACGAUCCGUAACUGGUCUGGGCGGAUGAUCAGUAACACUGGAACUGAGACACGGUCCAGACUCCGACGGGAGGCAGCAGUGGGGAAUAUUGGACAAUGGGCGCAAGCCUGAUCCAGCCAUGCCACGGGUGUGAAGAAGGUAUUCGGAUUGUAAAGCACUGUAAGUUGGGAGGCGUUACCAACAGAAUAAGCACCGGCUAACUUCGUGCCAGCCGCCGCGGUAAUUC
This 407-nucleotide ribosomal RNA is filed under the name uncultured bacterium. Its description in RNAcentral is "partial 16S ribosomal RNA". It matches the Rfam family "Bacterial small subunit ribosomal RNA", at positions 30 to 526 of the family's 1533-position model. The record is from RNAcentral.